AUGGAGCAGUCUAUAAGAGCAUACAGUAAAGAUAAAACAGUAACCUUGUUCAAGCCUGAAGUAGGCAUGAUAUUUGGUUCAGCAAGCGAAGGUUACCAGUUCUACAAUUUAUAUUCAAGGGUCGUUGGGUUCAGCUUAAGGAGUGAUGACUCGUAUACUAACACCAAGGGAGAGCGAACUAUGCAAGGGUUCAGAUGCCAGCGUGAGGGCAUUGAUAAGAAGACAAAGCUCAGCAGCACCAGAUGUGGAUGUCGUGCACGGCUAAGGUUGCUUAGGUCCAAUGAUUUACUAUGGUAUGUCAAGAUAUUCAAUGAACAACACAACCAUGAUCUGGUUGAGAGUUGUGGCCAGAAGAAGCAUUUGUUUUCUCAUAGACACAUAGAUGAUUCUACCAAAACUAUGGUUAGCCUUAGCAGAAUAAAUGGCAUAGUUGGCAGCUUCUAUGGUACAACGGAUGGUGUUCCAUUCAUGAAGAAGGCUCUGAGGACUUUGUGUUCGGACAUUGCAGCUGAAGCUCUAAAAGAUGAUGUAAGAAAAACAAUUGAGGGUUUCAGAGACAAUAUAGCUCAGGACAAUAGGUUUGUUUUCUCAAUGCAGCUGGACGCCAAUAAAAAUCUAAGGUCUCUCAUGUGGACAAGUGGUCAGAGCAGAGCUCUAUAUUCUCACUUUGGUGAUGUUGUAACAUUCGAUACAACGUACGAGACCAACAUAUACAAGAUGCCGUUUAGGAUGUUCGUUGGAGUGAAUAACCACUUCCAGAGUAUUAUUUUCGCUGGAGUACUUCUUACAAACGAGACUGCAGAAUAUUUCGAUUGGGCUUUCAAGGAGUUAGUUCUGAUGAUGGGUGGUAAAGCGGAAGAAGUACACUGGAAUACCAGAAAGGUGUAUAUAGCAUCUAUUUGGUGUUAUUAA
This 912-nucleotide ribosomal RNA is filed under the name Triticum aestivum (bread wheat). RNAcentral describes it as "partial small subunit ribosomal RNA". Lineage: Eukaryota; Viridiplantae; Streptophyta; Magnoliopsida; Poales; Poaceae. The record is from RNAcentral.